GUGACACUCCCUCCGUCCGAAAAUACUUGUCAUCAAAAUAGACUAAAAGGGAUGUAUCUAGAACUAAAAUACAUCUAGAUACAUCUCCUUUUAUUCAUUUUGAUGACAAGUAUUUCCGGACGGAGGGAGUAUCAU
Triticum aestivum (bread wheat) is the source of this 135-nucleotide non-coding RNA. NCBI's taxonomy places the organism in Eukaryota, Viridiplantae, Streptophyta, Magnoliopsida, Poales, Poaceae. The record is from Rfam.